Molecule: ribosomal RNA, 492 nt
Filed under: uncultured bacterium
Lineage: Bacteria
Description: partial 16S ribosomal RNA
Rfam family: Bacterial small subunit ribosomal RNA
Source: RNAcentral
GAUGAACGCUAGCUACAGGCUUAACACAUGCCAGUCGAGGGGAAACGACAUCGAAAGCUUGCUUUUGAUGGGCGUCGACCGGCGCACGGGUGAGUAACGCGUAUCCAACCUGCCCAUCACUUGGGAAUAACCUUGCGAAAGUAAGACUAAUACCCAAUGAUAUCCCACGAAGGCAUCGGAAUGGGAUUAAAGAUUUAUCGGUGAUGGAUGGGGAUGCGUCUGAUUAGCUUGUUGGCGGGGUAACGGCCCACCAAGGCAACGAUCAGUAGGGGUUCUGAGAGGAAGGGCCCCCACAUUGGAACUGAGACACGGUCCAAACUCCUACGGGAGGCAGCAGUGAGGAAUAUUGGUCAAUGGGCGAGAGCCUGAACCAGCCAAGUAGCGUGCAGGAAGACGGCCCUAUGGGUUGUAAACUGCUUUUAUAAGGGAAUAAAGUGGGUCACGUGUGACUUUUUGCAUGUACCUUAUGAAUAAGGACCGGCUAAUUCCGUG